AAAUGAAUAGACGGGGACCCGCACAAGCAGCGGAGCAUGUGGUUUAAUUCGAAGCAACGCGAAGAACCUUACCAAAACUUGACAUCCCUCUGACCGGUCUCUAAUAGGACCUUUCCUUCGGGACAGAGGUGACAGGUGGUGCAUGGUUGUCGUCAGCUCGUGUCGUGAGAUGUUGGGUUAAGUCCCGCAACGAGCGCAACCCUUGUCAUUAGUUGCCAGCAGUUCGGCUGGGCACUCUAGUGAGACUGCCGGGGAUAACUCGGAGGAAGGUGGGGAUGACGUCAAAUCAUCAUGCCCCUUAUGUUUUGGGCUACACACGUGCUACAAUGGCCGGUACAAAAAGAUGCAAUCUCGUGAGGGGGAGCAAAACUCAAAAACCGGUCCCAGUUCGGAUUGUAGGCUGCAACUCGCCUACAUGAAGUUGGAGUUGCUAGUAAUCGUGAAUCAGAAUGUCACGGUGAAUGCGUUCCCGGGUCUUGUACACACCGCCCGU
Molecule: ribosomal RNA, 493 nt
Filed under: uncultured bacterium
Lineage: Bacteria
Description: bacterial SSU rRNA
Rfam family: Bacterial small subunit ribosomal RNA
Source: RNAcentral